RNAcentral lists this ribosomal RNA (254 nucleotides) under uncultured bacterium. RNAcentral describes it as "partial 16S ribosomal RNA". It matches the Rfam family "Bacterial small subunit ribosomal RNA", at positions 524 to 776 of the family's 1533-position model. The record is from RNAcentral.
UACGGGGGGGGGCAAGCGUUGUUCGGAAUUACUGGGCGUAAAGGGCUCGUAGGUGGCCAACUAAGUCAUACGUGAAAUCCCUCGGCUUAACCGGGGAACUGCGUCUGAUACUGGAUGGCUUGAGUUUGGGAGAGGGAUGCGGAAUUCCAGGUGUAGCGGUGAAAUGCGUAGAUAUCUGGAGGAACACCGGUGGCGAAGGCGGCAUCCUGGACCAAUACUGACACUGAGGAGCGAAAGCCAGGGGAGCAAACGGG